This is a long non-coding RNA of Vombatus ursinus (common wombat), 277 nucleotides long. RefSeq lists it as uncharacterized. The record is from RefSeq and is a predicted model, not a curated record. Lineage: Eukaryota; Metazoa; Chordata; Mammalia; Diprotodontia; Vombatidae. The transcript is spliced from 3 exons.
GUGUCUGACCAGGGUGCCCCAAGGUCUGUUCCAGCCUUGAAUCUGAUUCCAUGUCAUGGGUAACCCCAAGGAGAUCAUUUAAUCUUUCUGAGACUCUGAGAGACUCCGUGGUAAGGAAACAAGAGUCAUCCAAGUGGACUUCACUGGAGGCCUAGAGGUCUAUGAGACAGGUGAGAGAGCCUUGGAGGGCCUAGAGAUCGGCAUUCUAGUCAAUGCUGUUGGCAUAACUCCCACGCAAGUCCUGCAGAAGCUAAUGGCUUUGAAGAACACAGGCAAG